CUGUAAGCAGCAAUAAACCAUUGCUAACGAAAAAAUAAUGUCAAGCGUAGUUCAGUUGAUAGUGAUACAGUGUCAACAAUAUAUAUGUCGUUUUUUAGUAAAAUGACCAAAUGGCUUUAUAUAUUUUCUUUAAUAAAAUUUGUCUAAUUUUCCCAGGUUUUAUAAGUUUUUCCAUGUUUUAUCCUUGUUUUUCCCAUUUUCUAGAAAAAUGACUACUCUAAAGUACUUCCCUAGUGAAAUUUCCUUUUAAGAACAUUGCUAUCAUGAAAAGUUGGAGCGAAACUUUGAAAGUUGGAAAGAAACGUUGUGCUCGGAAAAAAACAAAACCGUAAUAUAUUUUAACAAAUAACUACAUUUCUUAUAUUUUCUCGUUUUAUUUUUUGGGUUAUCCAAAUUUGAUGAGAAAACUCUUGAGAAAAUCGAAAAAUGACCUCUACAACGCAGCGCACCAACUGAAUAAAAUUACCUUUCAGAAAAGAUACUAUAUUUAAUACUUCGGAGCACGAUUUUUUUUCAAAAAGUUGUAUACAGACA
Non-coding RNA from Cinara cedri, 534 nucleotides. The record is from the annotation of a GenBank genome assembly. Lineage: Eukaryota; Metazoa; Arthropoda; Insecta; Hemiptera; Aphididae.